AUAGCACAAAGAAGGAAAAUACCUCUAUGUCGGUUGAAUAGCUCUACAUGACCUUCUAACUUCAGUAACAAGUGACUGAGAAAUUUUACAUGCUUUAUUUGUUUGAGCACUUAUUUCUCGACUCUCUCGAUCACCAAUGUCUUCUAUCUUAAUAUAUUUGAGCUCUUUAGAAGUAACUGAUGGGUAAUCCUGAGUUUUAUUUUUGUCAUUGUGCAUCUUCAUCUCAUUGAAUGUAACAUCUCUGCUCUUGAUGACUUGUUGAUUAUGAUAGUCCCAUAACUUGUACCUAAAUCCAUAUGAGCCAUAACUAAUACAUGUACACUUGACGAAUUUCAAGUCAAAUUUACUUCAGGACCUUGCAUCAACAUGGACAUAUGCAGAACACUCGCAUGCUUUCAAGUGGAUAGAUCUACCUUAUCAGUUCAGACUUAUUCAGUAAUUAAGGAGGAGAAGGACAUGCUGGUUCUUGCUAGUUGUUGCACGGCCAGCGGUCAACAUUUCCUACUUGUCAAACAGUGAUAAUCGUGUGGUUUGAGAGUUGAUUUCAUUUUC
Long non-coding RNA from Phalaenopsis equestris, 552 nucleotides. RefSeq lists it as uncharacterized. NCBI's taxonomy places the organism in Eukaryota, Viridiplantae, Streptophyta, Magnoliopsida, Asparagales, Orchidaceae. The record is from RefSeq and is a predicted model, not a curated record. The transcript is spliced from 2 exons.